GAAACGACUGCUAAGACUGGAUAGGAAGAUAAAAGGCAUCUUGUAUCUUUUAAAAGACCUAGUUAAUAGGUAUGCUUUAGGAGGGGCUUGCGCCAUAUUAGUUAGUUGGUAGGGUAAUGGCCUACCAAGACGAUGAUGUGUAGCUGGACUGAGAGGUUGAACAGCCACAUUGGGACUGAGACACGGCCCAAACUCCUACGGGAGGCAGCAGUAGGGAAUUUUCGGCAAUGGAGGAAACUCUGACCGAGCAACGCCGCGUGAAUGACGAAGUACUUCGGUAUGUAAAGUUCUUUUAUCGAGGAAGAAAAGCAAAUGGCGAACCAUUUGUUUGCCGGUACUUGAUGAAUAAGCCCCGGCUAAUUAUGUGCCAGCAGCCGCGGUAAGACAUAAGGGGCAAGUGUUAUCCGGAAUUAUUGGGCGUAAAGGGUGCGUAGGCGGUCUAGUAAGUCAGUGGUGUAAUGGCAACGCUUAACGUUGUCCGGCUAUUGAAACUGCUAAACUUGAGUUAGAUAGAGGCGAGUGGAAUUCCAUGUGUAGCGGUAAAAUGCGUAAAUAUAUGGAGGAACACCAGAGGCGUAGGCGGCUCGCUGGGUCUUAACUGACGCUGAGGCACGAAAGCGUGGGGAGCAAACAGGAUUAGAUACCCUGGUAGUCCACGCCGUAAACGAUGAGUACUAAGUGUCGGGUUAAACCGGUACUGAAGUUAACACAUUAAGUACUCCGCCUGAGUAGUACGUACGCAAGUAUGAAACUUAAAGGAAUUGACGGGACUCCGCACAAGCGGUGGAUCAUGUUGUUUAAUUCGAAGAUACCCGAAAAACCUUACCAGGUCUUGACAUGUUUUUGCAAAAUGAUAGUAAUAUCGUGGAGGUUACCAGAAACACAGGUGGUGCAUGGUUGUCGUCAGCUCGUGUCGUGAGAUGUUAGGUUAAGUCCUAAAACGAGCGAAACCCUUAUCGUUAGUUGCCAGCACGUUAUGGUGGGGACUUUAACGAGACUGCCAAUGAUAAAUUGGAGGAAGGUGAGGAUCACGUCAAAUCAGCAUGCCCCUUAUGACCUGGGCUACAAACGUGAUACAAUGGCUGUUACAAAGGGUAGCUGAAACGCAAGUUCUUGGCCAAUCCCCAAAAACAGUCCCAGUCCGGAUUGAAGUCUGCAACUCGACUUCAUGAAGUUGGAAUCGCUAGUAAUCGCGAAUCAGCAUGUCGCGGUGAAUACGUUCUCGGGGUUUGUACACACCGCCCGUCA
RNAcentral lists this ribosomal RNA (1248 nucleotides) under Peanut witches'-broom phytoplasma. Its description in RNAcentral is "bacterial SSU rRNA". It matches the Rfam family "Bacterial small subunit ribosomal RNA", at positions 153 to 1399 of the family's 1533-position model. The record is from RNAcentral. RNAcentral also lists the same sequence under 13 other names. Lineage: Bacteria; Bacillati; Mycoplasmatota; Mollicutes; Acholeplasmatales; Acholeplasmataceae.